CGGGUUGAAUCCAGAGUAAAGCUGACGGGAUGUGAUGUUUACGCGCCACCUCCGCAGCCCAAUGAAGGCAUAAAGAGUAGACAAUGCAAGUAAUGGGUUUACCUUCGUUUUCACUGCUUGUUAUAUACUCAGAGAUGGCAUCUUUGCCUCGUCGCUUGAAUUCAGACAAGUAAUGGUCUGUGUCAUCGCCGGGUUUAAUUCCGUCGUCGUAGCCAUCUGAAAAAGGUAAAAACGAUAGGCCUUCAGCGGUGGGGACUUUGGUCAUGCGGCGGCUGGCGGAGAUGCUGGUGAUGUAAGUUACACGUACGCCGAUACGAAUAAGAUGCUUGGCGAAUUGUAAGGUCGGGUUUAUGUGGCCUUGUGCAGGAUAGGUCACUACGAUGAAAUGAGGUUGUGGCAUGAUGGUGACGGCGGCGCGUGGGUAGUGAAUUAUCCUUUCUCUUUUUACUAAUUUGGAGUAAUUCGUGAAGGAAAUUAAUGGGUUUUUAUAGUGAUGAGAGGAAUUCAUAAAAGGUGACGUUUGAGCUGACGAAUUUCAUAGAUUCCUAAACCUUUUUGGAUUUAUCUGGUGUUUUUUUAAGGCUUAGGUUGCAGCUUGAUGCAUGAUGCUGUCAGAGACACUUUCAGACUACACGACUCUUGGGGGUUUGAACUUGAUUCACCAAUUAUAGUUUAGGUUAAACUAAACCCCAACACUAAACUGGUAAGUUUAUAUUUGGUUAAACUACCUACCAAGUUAUCCAUCUAUGCUUAAACUUUUUUUUUACUCACUCAAUUUUUAAAACUUUCGAAAUGGUCACUCAAUUAAUUGAAUUCGAUAUUUUUGAUCCAUAUCCCUUAAGCAUUGUUAAAUGCCUUAUCUUUGUAUAUCUGGUAGAUUAGGUAUUUGUAAAGUUGAGGGUUAAUUUUUGAAAAUUAUGAUUAAAUUGACAUAAAAUAUAAAUUUUGAUGGCUAAAUUUGUUAUUAUACUAAUUAUAAAGUAUUACCUCAACCUCGUGUUCAAACCCUUAACGGAAAUGGACGGAAAAAUAAAUUUGAUUAGUUAGGUGACAAUUUUGAAAGUUUUAAAAGUUGAGUGAAAAAAAAGAAGCUUAAACAUAUUUGAGUGGCUUGCAAUGUAGAUUAGCUUCUAUAUUUUGAUUACUCAACUUUUAGAUUUUACAAAAUGGUCACUGAACUAUUCGAAAGUUUUCAUUUAAGUAACUAAAUUAUUCGAAAUAUAUAAUUUAAGUCACUAGGCCGUUAAAUAUUUUUUUAAGUCCGACUAGCAAGCUCCAAGUAGGGGUGAUAUCAGUUCGGUUUGGUUGAGUUUUUCAAAUCUUUUGAAUUGUCCAUCAUAAUUCGAUUUGGCUCAGUUCAAUUUUUCCAUAUUAAUUUUUUAUUUUGAUUUUUUAAAUUUAUUUUGAUAAAAUGAGCUUUGUUUUAUGGCUUUUGAAUAUUAUUUGACAAAAUUUCAAGAUUUUUUUUAUAAAUAUUUCUAAAAUACAAUAAUCUUUUAAAAAAAUUUAAAUAAUUUACACUAUUUUAAAUAUAAAAUAUUUAUUUUUUAUAUCAUAAAAAAUAAAAUGACUUAUAUAUUAAAUAAAAAACACAAUUCAGUUUAGUUUUAGGUAACUGCAAUUUUUAAACUUGCAUUCCAUAAAUCAUCUAAAUAUCUUGGUUAGGGUUGGUUUUCGAUUUGGUUAGUUUGUUUGCACAACCUUAGCUCUAAGCGACUAUUCGACGAUUGAUACAGUGAAUCAGUACACAUUGAUAAGUAAAAGAACAUACUUUAAAUCCAAAUUGAUCUAACGGUUAGUGUCAGAGAUCGAAGAAGAAAGUUGUUUAGAUUUUAAUUUGUAAAUUUGUGACGUUCAAAACUAUUUCAUGAAAAAAAAUUGAACUAUAGAAAAGAAGAAAAAAGAGAUCUUUCGGUUGGUGCAAGGAUUGCAAGCGGAGAAGGCCAUACAAUAACAAUUUUAACAGUCCAUCAAGUUAAAUGAAAAUUUUCAAAUAGUUCAAUGACCAUUUUGAAGUUUUUUUAAGCUGACUGAUCAAAACAUAAAUUUACUAAUAAUUUAGCAACCUUGAAUGUAGUUUACUCAAAUUAUUAAUAAUGAUGUUUUUUUUUUUGUGAUGGAAUUUCGAUUGAAUUUUAUUAAUUAAUUUUAAAAAAAUUUAUAAAUCCAAGUAAAUGUAGGAAAAAUCUACUCUUUUUUGAUAUAAUGCUUAGAGCUACCCAUAGCCCUCCCCACUUUUAAAUAGGAGAACAAACUCAAACUCACAUCCUCCUACACUGACAACAAUGCCGAUGCUAAUCAAAUUAAGACUCAGUUGACAACUACAUCAACUUUUAAUUAUUCAUAUUUUGUAAAAGUAAUUUUUGGUGAAAGUUAUAGUGAAAGUUAUCAUAUUGGUGGUUAGGUGUGAUUGACCAUUGAGUUAUAAUUAUUGUAGCAUCAAGAAAAGUUAACCGAGUUGAUUAGAGUGUGGGGUGAAUAAAUUAAUUUUUCAAAAUUUUAAUAGUAGGAAUGGAAGAAUAUUUUUACAAUGUUAUUUCAUGAAUUAUGUAAAUAUAUUAAUUGACGUGACAAAUUAAUUUAACAUUAAUAUCUUAAUUAAAAUGAUUAUAUAUUUUUUUUACAAAGUAACAAAUAACGUUACGAGGGUUUUUUUGUUUUUUGUUUUUUACAUUUUUAUAUAAAAUUUAUAAAAUUCAAUUUAAACCCGUAAUAAAUCUCUAAAAAUAUUUAAACAUUUUGAGAUUUUAACUCGAGACAAACGGUAGUUUCUAGCCAAAAUUUUACCAUUACAAUUAAAAUUUUAUUUAUUUUUAUAUAAAAUUGUCCAUAAUUUUUUUCACAUGGUGAGUGUUGUUAAUAUAUUUUGAAAACAAAUUUAGAUAUAUUACUGAAAAUCAAUUUAUUUUCCAUAAAAACUUUGGAGUAUUAUUAGUAUAGGUCUAGAUUUAUAUGGUGGCCCGAAUAUGAAUUGGGCUUAAUUGAAACCUACGAAAGGCCUGAUCUAGUAGUUAAAAGUGAUUAAACCAUUUUUUUAAUGCUUAAUUAAACGGGAGAUACUUAAAUUAUUAGGUUUGUUUGAGUUAGGUAUUUAAAUUAUUUUUUUAUCUAUCCAAGUACCUAAACUUUGAAUUAGUUAUUGAAAUAAGUACAUGCUGUUAGUGUUGUUAAAAAAAAAAACUCUAGCCAAUAGUAUCGUCUCACGUUAUUAUUAGCGAUAGAGUCCUACUUGUUAUAUUUGAAAUUGACAAUUUAUUGAAAUAAAAUCUUUAGGUUAGAUUAAUAUUGUGGAAUUAUUCAGGCCCAUCAAUGAAUAUUAAUCCAUUUAGAGAAACUUAUUUUUAAGGAUUGGAUUGGAUCAGAUCAAUCUUACCAAAUUCUUUCGAUUAAGGAUGUUUGAUCGGGACAAAACUUGAGAACUUAUCUUCCAACAAUCCUCUUUACUUUAGUUGUUAUUUAUUAUAUUGGAUUUAACUAUUUAGUUAUUGUUCAAAGGGGAUUGUAAUUAAUCUUUAGUAUGUGAGUAAGUCUUGGAAAACUUUUAUAUAUUUGAGAUACUUGUAUAGAUUUCUGUAUUGAAUUUUUUAGAGCACUUACCAGUUCACAUAGGAACGUUAUUGUGAGAUUGCAAAUGAGAUAGUAAAACCUAUUGUUGCCUUGAUGGUGGUUUUACAAACUAUGUGCUCCGGGGGAGAAUUUCAUGUUGAGAAAUCUAGCCUUUGAGUACAACAUUGAGGUUACUAGACCAGGGUGUGAUAGAACUAGGAUUACUUGUUGUACUGAGUUCAAAGAUAGUAAAUUCAUCUCAUUGAGCUAGAUUGUGUAGACGUAGGAAACUGAAUUGAUAAACAAUUUCUUAUCAGCUUUUUUUUAAUCACAAUGUUAUCAGAAUACCCAAUUUCACUGUCACUUCCAUUCAUACUUUAUUUCUUAAGAUAUUAACAAUUAAUUUACGUUAACAUAUUCAACAGACAAAUAAUAAGUUUUUUUAACAUUAAUCUUAUUAUCUGUUCUUAUCAUAUCUGUUAUUUUUUAUACAAUACCAAAACUACCUAUAGCCCCUCUCCAACCCUAAAAUAAAAGGAUAAUGCGCUUCAGCACAUUCAAACCCAAACCCUCCUGCACUGACAGCAAUACCAAUACCAAUCAAAUUAAGACUCAAUCGAAUAGUUUUUUAUAAUUACAAACAAAUGAUAAAUCUAUUUCCAUAGAAGAUUUUUUGUGUAUAAUUAAAGUUAAGCGUCAUUUGGUUGUUUCCCACCCAAUGGAACCUGAUUAAUGGGAUUUUAGUAUAUCUUAUAAAGUAUUAAUUAAAUUUUAUAAUAAAAUCACAAGAAUAUGUUUGGUUGAUUAAACAUUUGUGUAAGACCUAAAUUUUGCCCGGGCCCAACUAAACCUAAAGCCCACACUACAUCAGUCCCAACAUUUAGCCUACUACUCUAAACCCAAUGACCCAAUACAAACAGCCCAAAUACUUAGCCCUAACAGCACACAUCCGAAAAACCCUAGCCCUUUGCCCCAGCGCCGCACGUCAGCUAGGAUCCCUCAUACGCUUCCGCAAAUGCCGCAGCAGUUGCUCACAUCGCAGCAACCACCCACGAUCAGAACACCUUGUCGUUUCCACAUACCUGUAACAAAUAAACCACGAGCAACACUAAUAGGAGAUACAGUAAAUUGUAAAGAAGUUUUGGCUAUAAAAAGCCAAUGGAUUUCUGUAAUAAGGGUUAGCAAAUUUUUGAUAAAAAAAUUAAAAGAAAAUACAAGAGAAAAAAACAUUUUGAAGGUGACAGCUUGUUGUUUCUUUUCUUCUGUUCUUUUACCGCUUUCAUUUUACUUUUGUUUUUCUUUUGUUUCUAAAACAAAAUAGAUUAAAUAAAGGGAGGUAAAGGAAAACUUACCAGCGUGGUGUCGAUGUAGCCCUUUGUUUCAUUACUGUCGGAGCAGGGGAGGAGUUUUAAGGGUAGAGAAACGACGCAAUGACAAAGAAAGAAAGAAAAUGGUUUUUAGGGUUUGAAAAAGGGUUUUUAAUUGAUUUUAAAACAGUGCCGUAUUUGGUGUACCCGAAUGCCCGCGUUGUAACACCCCUUACCCGUAGUCGACACUGAAAUAGGGUACGAGGCAUUACCAGAACACAUACACUUGUAAACAUAUUUAACCGAGUUAUAAAAUUUCAUCUAAAUUAAAACUUUCAAAAUUAUUAACAUGCUUUUAUAACUCUUCACAAUAUAUCCUCGAAAUGUUAUUAUAAUUUUAAUAAUUAAGGCCUACGAGACCCUAUACAUAUUCAUGCAAUUCAAUACUUCAUUUCCAUUUCACUCAAUUCGCAAUUUCUCAUGCUCACGAUUUAGAUCAUAUCACUAGCAAUUUCCAUUUAAUUCACAUACAAUUCAAUCUCAUUAAGUUUAACACUAAUACGCAUUUAGCAUUUAAUUCAACGUUUGUCCAUUAUACCAUUCGUUAACACAUUUAUGAAAUUCUAAAUUUUGCAAUGAAAAUAUCAUUUUAGCUUAAAUAACAACAUCAUCCUGGUAUAAAUACACUACCACUUAUCCAUUUUCUUUAAUUUUUUUGGGUCAAUUUGUCACUUACCGUCCUUAUCAAAUUAGGAAACUGUUACGGAAAAUUAAGUACUUCACUUUCACUUUGCCAUAGUAUAACUAUGGUCUUACGUAUGACCACUUAUCACUUGUCCUUGAACAGAUAAGUGUACCUAGGCUACCACUUAUCACUUUGUCACUUGAUCAGAUAAGUGUAGUUAAGGCUACCACUUAUCACUUUGUCACUUGAUCAGAUAAGUGUAGCUAAGGUUACCACUUAUCACUUUGUCACUUGAUCAGAUAAGUGUAGCUAAAGCUACCACUUAUCACUUUGUCACUUGUCACUGAUCAGAAGUACUCAAAUCCGGCAUUCCACUCAAUUUGAUCAUUUAUUCAGUUUUCGCAUUUUUAUUUUAUUCUCAUUUCAACACUAAAUAUGUUAGCCAAAUACACAUAUAGCAUAAGCAUUACAAGCAUGGAUGAGCACAACAUUUAUUCAUGUAUCACGCUUACCAACAUGUGUUAAUUCAUAAACCAUUCAUAAUUUUUUUAUGCCAAAUCAUAUACCGAAUAUACCAUACACACAUACUAUGAAACUUUAUUUUCAUACAUGAGCUUAGACCAUGACCAAUAAUGCACAAAUAUAAGCAUCAUUUUUAUUUCAUCGUUUAUCAAUUAUAAUCAAGCAUAUGACCAAUUAUACACAAAUCAUUCAUAUAUUUCCCAAUUUUCCUCCUCCUCCUCUCAAUUUCACAUCCUUAAUGUGUAUAACACACUUAAACAACAUUAACUAUAAUUUCAUUAUUCACUCACAUGUAUAUUCAAAAUUGUUUAUCCGAGUCAGAGUCACUAAAUUAUUUUUAUCUGGAGCUACAGAGCUCCAAAUGAAGAUCUGUUAAUUUUCCCUGAAACUAGACUCACAUAUCUUCUUGCCAUUAAAUUUUCAGAAUUUUUGGUUCAACCAAAUAGUACAGUUUAUUCUUUAAAGUUUUCCCUGUUUCGCUAUCUGACAGUUCCGACCACUAUUCACUAAAAAGUAAUUAUCUCAUUGUACAGAAUUUGGAUGUUGUUUCUGUUUAUUUAUUAUAAAAAUAGACUCAUUAAAGAUUCUAACCAUAUAAAUUAUAACUAACAUAUCAAGAACAUAUAAUCUUAUAUAAUAAAACUCUACAUUAACAUCAAUCUCAUACUUUUUCAAUAAUAUCAAACUCAAAAAUAUGUUGAAAUCAUGAUGUUCUUACCUUGCUCAAUUGACUUCAAUCUUUAACUUGAUUUUCUCUCUCCUCCAGCCUCUAUUUCUAGAAUCUAACUUGAUAUUCUAGCUCCCCAUAGUCUCCUUGCCAAUUUUAUCUCUUGGUGGCUAUGGAAAUUUCUUUGAUUUCUAAGUGAAAAUGAUAGAUUUUUGGUGAAAGGACCAAAUUGUAAAGAAAGCAAACCUUUCUUUCUUUUUCUCUGUUCUCACGUUGGUUGCAUGGAAGAAGAAGAUGAUUCUUCCUCUUUUCUUCCAUAUAUAUAUACUAAAUAAAAUAAUAAUAAAAUAAUAAAAUGUCAUUUAAAAAUCUAAUUAAAAUAUUAAUAAACUAAUAUUUACUUAUUUAUUUAGUCUAAAUAUCUCCAACAUCAUCAUUAUUUUCUAAAUUUUUCUUUCUUCUAAUUGACCAUUUUACCCUUUAGAUCUUUCAAAAUUCCAUCAUUGAGUCAUCACUUAAUUUGGUAAAAUUAUAAUUUAAUCCCUCAUAAUUCUUCAUCUAUUCAAUUUGGUCCCAAUUCAUCCAUUUUUCUUAGUUUCUAGAUUAUUCCACCCUUAAAAUAUUUACACUAUUGGUUCUUUAACUUUUUCAUAUUUACACUUUAACCCUCAACUUUUCAGUAUUUACUCUUGGGUAACAAAACUUUUCUCACUUUUGCAAUUGAAUCCUUUCUUGAAUUAAUAUGUCAUAAAUCAUAAAUUUUAAAAUAAUUUUUUUUCCUUGUCUGAAUUUUGGACCCGAAACCACUGUUCCAACUAGACCCAAAAAAAUCGGGCUGUUACACGAGUGACCCGAUCCAAAAACCCGAUCAGAUCCGCAUGUUUUAAGUUGAUGGGUUAUUUAUAAUUUAGGCCCUUCAUGUUUUAUGGUUUUCAAAAUCACUGUUUUUUUUAUUAUUUUCAAAUUUUUUCCAUGAAACAUUGUUAAUUUUGAUUUAAUCCAAUAUUGCGCAAUGCUUCGAGUGGUUUGGGUAAAUUGUUUUUUUGGUCCUCCCCCUGAUUGCGCAUGUUUAAAUUACUCCCUUUCUUAUUUUUAUUUUCAAAUUCAGCUCUCAAAUUCCGUUUGGUUUUGAAACUUAAUCUUUAAUUUGUUUUUUUCAGUUUUUUUUAUAUUUAUUUAUUAUUAUAUUGUUUAUAUUGUUUAUUAGUAUAAUUAUUACUAUAUUAUUAUUAUUGUCCGUAUAUAUGUGAGCAUGUAUAUAUGUUAAUAUAUAUAUAUAUGUAUAUUCUAAAUGUUUUAAAUACAUAUAUGUAGUACGUAUAUAUUUUAUUAUCAUAUCAUUUUAUUUUUAUAGUUUAUAUAUAUUUUAUAUACAUUCAUAUUUUUUAUGAUAUUUAUAUUUUCAUGUUUUAUAAUUCAUAUGUUUAUACAUUUUUAUAACGUUUACAUAUAUUUUUGCAUUCUUUUCAAGGCUAUUAUAAAUAUUUUCCAUGAUUUUAUAUUUACUAAUACAUUAUACUUAUACAUUUUUUUUAAAACGUAUUAAUAUAUUUUAUAUGUAUUUUAUCAUUGUUUUAUUUUUAUGACUUACGUUUUUUGUCUCAUAUCCAUAUACAUAUUUGGUAAAAUUGUUUAUAUAUCAUACUUAUGUAUACACAUAAUUUAAAUUAAAGUAUUUGUUUCAUAUUGCAUUGACAUUUUUAACAUAUUUUUCAAAUACAUUUUGAUUUUGUCAGAACAUUAAAAUCAUUUUUUAUGAUUCAAAGGUUUUCAAAAUAAAAACGAGAUUCAAAGUUAGGGAUUUUCGAGGAAAAUAGAGCCCUAACGUAUUGGGUUCCGAUUUUCUUUGUUAAUUUCAAAUAACCGAGAAUAUUCGUGAUUUAAAAUGUAUAAGUAAAAAUCAUUUUUGGGAACUUAAUUCGUUAUGUCCUAACAUAUUGGGCAUGACAUAAUUGCUUCCUCGAAAUGAGGAUUUACUUAUAAAGAAAAAGUGAUAUUCAAAAUUCGGGGAUUUUGAGAAAUUGUACCCUAACGUAUUGGGUCUGAAUUUCUUCGUAUGACUUGAAUAAUUGACUAUCCUUUUCAGAUUUCAAUGUUUGAGCUUAACAAAAUCUUUUAAAUUUUCGACACCAAGACAUUAAAUAAUUAAAUUCGGUACCGAUUUUUUUGGGCGUUACGAGGGUGCUAACCCUUCCUCGUGCGUAACUGACUCCCGAACCUGUUUUCUCAAAUUUCGUAGAUCACAUUUGUUUUUCAGGUAAGCCGAUCACACCUAAAUUACGGAUCGGUGGCGACUCAAAUUUUUAUUUUUAAAGGUCGACAAACUAAAUUUUUGUUUUCAAAAAAAUGGUUUCGACAAUUUGCUUAGAAUAAUUUAUAAAAAGACACUACUCUAAUUAAAGAAAAAAACAGACACUAUUCACGUGUCACGCGAGUGGUGUCAUUCGACAAUUAUUAAUUUUAUAUUAUUUUAUUAUUUUCUGUUAUAAUUAUUUAACAUUAAUAUUAAUAUAAAAUUUAUUAUAUAAAUAAUUUUUAUUUAACACAUUCAUAUUAUAUAUUUCAUUUAUUCAUUUAAAUUCUUAAUUCGAUUGGUAUGAGUAUUGGUGUCAAUACAGGAGGAUGUGAGUUUGAGUGCACUAAAACGCAUUAUCCUUCUAUUUAUAGGUUGAUGAGAGACUAUGAACAAUUCCAAAUAUUAUAUAAAAAAAAUAGUUAUGAAAAAUCUAUAAUGAAAUUAUUACUAUCAAGAAGAUAAUGCCUUUUCAUUAAUUUGAUAAUUUGAUAAUGAUUUUAUUUUACCUUUAUCAACUACAAUUAUUGAUUUAAAACUUCGAAAAUAACAUUUUUGAAACAUUUGAAAAUAAUAUUAUUAAAAAAACAGUUUAGAUUGAAUAGUUAGUAGAUUAAUAUGUUCUCGGAGGAUGUAGAUUAACAAUAUAAUUAUGUUUAAAAUUUUAAUUUGGAUUUUUAAAUAAUUUGUAUUUUUAACGCCUUAUAAAAAUUAGAGUUAAUUGUAUCAAAUAUCUCUAAAUUAUGACUCUUAUUUUAAUUUGGUCUUCAAAAUUUAAAUCAUUCUAAUUAUAUCAUUAAAUUAUCAAUGUUAUAUCAAAUAAGGUUCUUCCGUUACUAAAAUUGUCAACUUAACCGCUAAAUAAGAUGUCAGAUCUUACGUGAUAUAAUUUAAAAUGAAUAUUGUAUAAAUACCAAUUUUGAGGUUUUCAUAGAUUUUACAGAAAUUAUCGUUCAUUUUCCUCUCUUUUUUUGUUUGUCUUACUUUAUUUUAAUUUUUAAUUUUAAAAAUUAUGUAACAACAUUUUACUUUUCUUUAAAAUUUUAUUUUGAUUUAUGUCAUAUAAAAUUUUACGUGUCAUUUAAUGAUUAAAUUAACAAUUUUCAUAAUGGAAGGACCUGAUUAAUAAAACAUCGAUUGCUUUGAGACGUAAUUAGAAUGUUUAAGAAACAUAAUUAAUCAAGCUCAUCAUUUAAAAAAAUUAAAACACUUGUCGACAAAAAAAGAAUAAAACAGUAUCACGUGUCACGUGGGUAUAUAAAGUGGUAUUUAAUGUCUUGCAAAUAUGCUUUACAAAUAUUUAAUGUGGGAACUAAUAAUUAAACUAACAAAAUUAAAACGAUAUUUAUAUUUUAAAAAUUCAAUUAGAAUUUUUAAAUUUUAGAAAUUAAUUUAAAAUAUAAAUUAUAAUGGAAGGAUGUUUAGUACAAUUAACUAUUUUGUACCAUUAUAUCUUUUUGGGAUAACGUUAUAUUUAGUAUAUAUACUUUCAUAAAAUUUCUAAUGUAGUAUUUGUACUUUGAAAAUAUCUAAUGUCACACCUGAACUAUUAAUAUAUAUUUUUUAUUAUGGUACUUGCAAUUUUGUAAAAUAUCUAAUGUGAUACUUGAGCUAUUAAUGUGUUUUUAUUAUGGUACCUAGUGUUAAUACUGUUAAUGAAUUACUAAACCAGCCAAUAAAAAUUUGAUACGUAAUUUUUUUUAAAUCAUCCAAAUCCACAUGAAUAAUAUAAAUUAUAUAGAAAAAUAAAUAAAACAAAAACAAAUUAAUUAAAUAUAUUAUUAAUAAAAAGGAUCUAUUAUUAAACUUACAUAAAUAAAAAACAUCAUCUUCUUCAUUUAAGUAAAUUUUAUGUGCCAAAACUUUUAUUGAUUGCUUUAGCAAUUCACUAAUAGUGUUAACGCCAAGUACUGUAAUAGAACACGUAUUGAUAGUUAAGGUAUCACAUUGGAUAUUUUAUGAAAGUACAAGUACCAAAUGUGACACUAUCUUCUUCUUCUUCUUCUUUUUUCUUUUUUUCUUUUUUUGAGUUCUAAUCUUUUUAAUAGGUAUUUUUUCUAAUGUUGUAAAAGAGCCUAUUUAUUGGCUAAAUUCGUAGGUAAAAUAAAUUAUGCUAAUAAAUGCUAAAUAUAUUACACUAAUAAGUACUAAAUCUUCUAAAAAGAAAAUAUAUUUUGUUAAACUUAAUUUGCAAAUAAUCUCUUGUUUUAUUCAACAGGAAUUUGGAUCACACAACUCUAACAAUAAUACUUACACUUAUUAGGGAUGACAAUAGAGCGAGUUAGGAUAGAUGUUGUCAAAUCCACUACUGCUUCACAGUUGGUACACUUCACUUCACUUCACUUUACCACUUGCCCUGUUUUAUUACAUAUGUUAAACCUUGAAAAUUAUUACCACUUCUAUAGAUGUUGGAAAUACCCCACUCCAUCCCACAUCAAUUUAAUUUUUGUUAAUUAUUUCUAAAGUUUUUAAAUUUUUUAUAAGACAACUAAGCAUAACUUUUUAAAAAAAUCCAAACAUAAAAGCUUUUUUUAUAAUGCAUUUGUACAUUUUUACCAUUUGAAUGGUUAUACGAGUAAAAUGAUAAUUUUAUAUAGUAAAGAGCAAACAAUUAUUAUAACUGCUUCGUGCCAAUUAUCCGCCAAAAAAAAAAUUAUCCAAUUUGUCAUACCUUGCAACUAUCCUUCAUACAAAAAAUGUAUUCUAUUUAAAACUGAACGAUUUAAAAUCCAUAAAACGAAUCCUGUUGUAGCAUCCUCAAAUAUAUAAUACUUAAAAAAUGGUAGCUUUCAAUUUUCAUACAAGAAGAAACAAACCACAUUGCGUGAACUUGUUGACAAAACGAUAGCCUUUUAUCUUCUUCACUUUGACUAGGUGCAGUUCCAUUUGUGUGGUGGUUCAGCAUUACCAUCAUUAAUUACUACAAGUCAAAACCUAAUAAUGUUUUUUUAUAAAGGUAUAAUCACGAUUGUACUUUUUAUUAAUUAAAUUUAUUUUUGGUUGCACCAAAAUUAUUUAAAGCAUAAAUUUAAUAUAAACACAAAAUUGACAACUUAUUGAAUUUUAAUUUAAUUAGUAUUUUUAUUAUUGUAUUUAUCGAAAAAGAAUUUAGAUAUACAUAUUUUUUUUUUGUAAAUUAUAGAAGGAGAACAAAUAAAGGUGUCUAUAGGUCGGGCCGAGCCCAAUCAAAAUUUUAGUUUCGCUUGUAGGCUUGGGACUAGCUCGGCCCAGAUAAAAAUGUUAAAACUCGAAUUCAGUCUAACUCACUAGUAUUAAUUUUUUUAUUUUAUUUUUUAAAAAAAUUUAAUACAUAAAAAAUACUAUAACUAUUAAAAAUGUUUCUUAACAAAUUAAAAAUAAAUUAAAAAAACAUAUAUAUUAAAUAAAACUAAGAUAAGUGAUGCUAACCCAUGGAUAGAUCUAAACCUUUCAAUUUUUCGAAUGAUCUAACAUAUGGAUAAAUUUAAAAAUAAAAUCCUAACAAUAACGCAACUAAUGUGACUCGAACUGAUUGAAACAAUAAACAUUCUUACCAUUAAACCAACACUAUUCACAUUACUAUUACUAUUCAAAGAUUGGAAAAAAAAGAAUGAUAUUUGAAAGGGAAAAAAAGGAAAUUUACUUGCAAUAACUUGAGCAACAUCAUCCACAAAAGCUUUAAGGUUCAUAUCCAUGGACCCACCUUUCAUGGCGACUUCCCUGGCUAACCCUUUCCAUUUCUCUACAUUUUUCUUCACUUCCAUCCCUUUCUCAUCAUCCCCCAUCACCAAAUCCAAGCACCUAACGAUCUCAUCACGUUCCACGAUCCCUUCCUCGUUACCGCUCACUCUCACCCCAGUUCCCCACACAUCUUCAAUCAGCUUCGCACUAGUCCCUUGAUCCGUCCACUGAGGAAAAGCCACCACCGGUACACCGGUAACCAAGCUCUCUAACGUCGAGUUCCACCCACAAUGCGUCACGAAGCAACCCAACGACGGAUGAGACAACACUUCUACUUGCGAACACCAUGGAACCACCAUUCCAAAUUGUUCCAAUUCUUCCCCGCAAGUUAACUUAUCUUCUUCUUUCUCUUCUUCGCCUCUAUCUUUCCGGUUCCUCACCACCCACAAAAACGGUCACCGGCUGGAUAUUAAAGCUCGAGCGAUUUCCUCCACUUGUUGCUUCUUUAACGCCGCCAUGCUCCCAAAGGAAACGUAAACGACGGCCGAUUUUGGUUUGGAGUCUAACCAUUGGAUGUAAUUUUUGUUAACAUUAAUGGGAGACAACAUUAAUGGCAAACAAUACAAAGUGGUGCAAGUUUAGCACCCUAAAGUUGACUUUGAAAAAGUGGCAUGGGAUAAUUUUUUUUUGGUCCUUGAGAUAAUGGGCUAUUUAUUGUUUGGUCCUUAAACCUCAACUAUAAAUAGGCCUUCUCAUUUCUCAUUUCAAUUCAUCCCAACCAAUCUUUCUCUCUUAGUUUUCUCUCUUCUCCCAUUUGAGAAUUCUUAAGGAAUUCUAUUUGUUUGUAAUACUUUGGAGAUAGUAAAGUUAUCAUCUGGUGUUAGUGCCCGAGGACGUAGGUAUAAUUUACCGAACCUCGUUAAAACUCUUGUGUUCUUUCUUGUCCUAUUUUUCUUUCAAUAUUUGAGGGUAUAAUAGUAGUAUUUAAUUGUGCUAUUAAAUUACUAUAGAAGGGAUAUUCUGUCUAAGGAAAGACUUGGUAUUUAAGAGAUCCAUGUGAUCCACCUCUCUUCCCUGGGAAUUGAACUUUGUGUGAUUUUUUAGUACAAUAAUUUACACGCUUCCGACCCUAUUGGAACAACAAGUGGUAUCAGAGCCUAAGGUUAAUCGUAGUAUGCUCUGUGGUUGCAGUUUAAACUGAUCUUCCACAUCAGAAAAGAUUUCCUUAGGUAUAUUGAAAGAUUAUGGAGAAAACGGUCGGUGUAGGAGCUUCAACAUCGUCCAUGUAGACAAGACCGACAAUUGCAAAUGCAAGAUUGGCCGUGGAGAUCUUUGAUGGCACGGGCCAUUUUGGUAUGUGGCAAAGUGAGGUUCUAGAUGCCCUUUUUCAGCAGGGUCUAGACAUUGCCAUUGAUGAAGAGAAACCAGAUGAUGUACAGGAGAAAGAUUGGAAGGCGAUCAAUCGGUUGGCAUGUGGCACAAUUCGAUCAUGCCUUUCUCGAGAGCAGAGGUAUGCUUUUUCAAAGGAGACUUCUGCAAAUAAGUUGUGGGUGGCACUUGAAGAAAAAUUUUUGAAGAAAAACAGUCAAAAUAAGCUCCACUUGAAGAAAAGACUGUUUCGCUUCACAUACGUCCCAAGUACCACAAUGAAUGAUCACAUCACCAAAUUUAAUCAGUUAGUCACUGAUUUACUGAAUAUGGAUGAGACAUUCAAAGAUGAAGAUUUGGCUUUGAUGCUGUUGGGGUCACUUCCUGAGGAGUUUGAGUUCCUAGAAACUACUCUACUUCAUGGCAGGAGUGAUAUAUCUCUGAGCGAAGUCUGUGCGGCCUUAUACAGUUAUGAACAGAGAAAGAAGGACAAACAUAAAAACUCAAUCAGAGAUACAGAAGUUUUAGUAGUCCGAGGUCGUUCAUACACUCGGAAGAAAACUCAAAAGGGGAGAUCAAAGUCAAAGUUCAGACUCGGGAAAGAUGAAUGUGCUUUUUGUCAUGAGAAAGGCCACUGGAAGAAAAAUUGUCCAAAGCUGAAGAAUAAGGGAAAAGCUGCUGUAGAUGCUUGUGUUGUAAAGCAUGAUACCAGUGACUCUAAACUAUCACUGGUUGCAUCAUCAUCGUUGUUCCAUUCAGAUGAGUGGAUAUUGGAUUCGGGUUGUACCUAUCAUAUGUCCCCUAACCGGGAGUGGUUCUCUGAUUUAGUAGAACUAAAUGGAGGAGUUGUUUAUAUGGGCAAUGACAAUGCCUGUAAAACUGUUGGGAUAGGUUCAAUCCAAUUAAAGAAUAAAGAUGGAUCAACCAGAGUUCUGACUAAUGUUCGGUACGUGCCCAGUUUGAAGAAAAAUCUCAUCUCAUUGGGAGCCUUGGAAUCCAAUGGUUCAGUUGUUACUAUGAGAGAUGUGAUUUUGAAAGUGACAUCUGGCGCACUUGUGAUAUUGAAGGGCAUCAGAAAAAAUAACUUGUAUUACUACCAAGGUAGUACAGUUAUUGGAGCAGUCUCUGCAGCUUCCGGCAACAAAGAAUUGGACUCAAUACAGUUGUGGCAUAUGAAGUUGAGACAUGCCAGCGAAAAAUCCUUGCAAAUUCUGGCAAAGCAAGGAUUGUUGAAAGGUGCAAAGGCUUGCAAAUUAAAAUUUUGCGAGCAUUGUGUUCUGGGAAAGCAAAAAAGAGUGAAAUUCGGUACUGCUAUCCAUAAUAAAAAUGGUAUUUUGGAAUACGUUCACUCAGAUGUGUGGGGGCCUUCCAAGACACCUUCAUUGGGAGGAAAACACUACUUUGUUACUUUUGUUGAUGACUUUUCCAGAAGAGUUUGGGUGUAUACCAUGAGAACUAAGGAUGAAGUGCUUAGAGUUUUUCUUAAAUGGAAAACUAUGAUCGAAAACCAGACUGGCAAGAAAAUCAAGUGGCUUAGGACGGACAAUGGAGGGGAAUAUAAAAGUGAUCCGUUCUUCGAUGUGUGCCAAGAGUAUGGUAUUGUUCGACACUUCACAGUUAGGGAUACACCACAGCAGAAUGGAUUGGCAGAGCGUAUGAAUCGAACAUUGCUGGAGAAAGUUCGAUGUAUGUUGUCCAAUGCUGGGUUGGGCAAGCAAUUUUGGGCUGAGGCUGUGACAUACGCUGGCCAUCUUGUUAAUCGUUUGCCAUCAUCUGCAUUAGAAAGAAAAACUUCUAUGGAGGUAUGGUCUGGAAAACCGGCUACAGAUUAUGAUUCCUUACAUGUGUUUGGAACCACUGCAUAUUACCAUGUGAAGGAGUCAAAGUUAGAUCCGAGGGCAAAGAAAGCUCUCUUUAUGGGAAUCACUUCUGGAGUGAAGGGAUUUCGACUUUGGUGCUUAAGCAUAAAGAAAAUGAUCUGUAGCAGAGAUGUUACCUUUGAUGAAUCUGCCACAUUGAAAAAGGUAGCAGAUAAAGAUAUUCAGAUGAGCAAUACUCCACAGCAGGUAGAGUGUACUCCAAAACAGGUGGAGUUUGAGCAGAUGGGGAUUUGCCCAGUUAAUAAGUCUAAUUCUCCAGCCACAAUGGAGGAAUUAGAGGUUGAAAAGGUUCUGACCCAAGAACCACUAAGUACACCAGAACCAGUUGCAGUUGCAAGGCCACGGAGAGAAAUUUGUAAACCUACUCGAUUUACUGAUAUGGUGGCCUACGCCCUUCCCGUUGUUGAUGAUAUUCCUAUCACUUAUCAAGAAGCAAUGCAAAGCUUAGAAAGUGAUAAAUGGAAAAGCGCCAUGGAUGAAGAAAUGCAGUCUCUCCGGAAGAACAAUACUUGGGAGUUGGCGCAAUUACCGAAAGGUAAAAGGGCAAUCGGAUGCAAGUGGGUAUUCGCAAAGAAAGAUGGAUCUCCUAGCAAGAAGGAUAUUCGCUACAAGGCAAGAUUGGUAGCUAAAGGCUACGCUCAGAAAGAGGGAAUUGACUACAAUGAUGUAUUUUCCCCUGUUGUGAAGCAUUCUUCCAUUAGAAUUUUGUUGGCCUUGGUAACACAGUUGAAUUUGGAGCUAGCUCAACUUGAUGUUAAGACGGCUUUCUUGCAUGGUGAGUUAGAAGAGGAGAUCUAUAUGACUCAGCCAGAAGGAUACACAGAUACUGGUGGUAGAAAUUGGGUUUGUAAGCUUAACAAAUCGCUAUUUGGAUUGAAGCAAUCCCCGAGGCAGUGGUACAAGCGAUUUGAUAGCUUUAUGAGAAGGCAGAAGUACACAAGAAACAAAUAUGACAAUUGUGUAUAUUUGCAGAAGUUGCAUGACGGAUCUUUCAUUUAUCUACUCUUGUAUGUUGAUGAUAUGUUAAUCACUUCGAAGAGCCAAAAUGAGAUAGAUAAGCUGAAGGCUCAGUUGAAUCAAGAGUUCGAGAUGAAAGAUCUAGGUGAGGCCAAGAAGAUUCUCGGCAUGGAGAUAAGUAGAGAUAGACCGAGAGGCAAGCUCUGUUUAAAUCAGAAACAAUAUCUGAAAAAGGUAUUACAAUGUUUUGGUGUAAAUGAAAACACAAAACAUGUAAGUACCCCACUUGCUUCUCAUUUGAAACUUAGUGCUCAAUUAUCUCCGAAGACUGAAGAUGAAAGAGAAUAUAUGGUGAAAGUCCCAUAUGCUAAUGCAGUUGGGAGUUUGAUGUAUGCGAUGGUGUGUACGAGGCCUGACAUUUCACAAGCUGUUGGAGUUGUGAGCAGGUAUAUGCAUGAUCCUGGAAAAGGACAUUGGCAAGCUGUGAAAUGGAUUCUACGGUAUCUUCGAAAAACCGUAGAUGUUGGUUUAAUUUUUGAACAGGAUGAAGCACUUGGUCAGUUUGUAGUUGGAUAUGUUGAUUCCGACUUUGCUGGUGAUUUAGAUAAACGUCGUUCAACUACGAGGUAUCUGUUUACUCUUGCGAAAGCCCCAGUGAGUUGGAAGUCUACCUUACAGUCUACAGUAGCUAUGUCUACUACAGAUGCAGAAUAUAUGGCAGUUACAGAAGCUGUUAAGGAGGCUAUUUGGCUUAAUGGAUUGUUGAAAGACUUAGGAGUUGUUCAAAGUCACAUAAGUUUAUAUUGUGACAGUCAGAGCGCUAUUCAUUUAGCGAAAAAUCAAGUCUAUCAUUCAAGAACCAAGCAUAUCGACGUAAGAUAUCACUUUGUGCGGGAAGUCUUUGAAAAAGGAAAAAUUCUACUUCAGAAGAUUCCGACAGCAAAUAAUCCCGCAGAUAUGAUGACCAAGGUGGUAACAACAAUCAAGUUUAAUCAUUGUUUGAACUUGAUUAACAUCCUGAGAAUUUGAGCACCUUUAGGUGUAUGGCGCUCGAGAGUGCAUUUGUAGGCACUACAAAAGAUAGCUUUAUCGAAUUUGGGGGGUUGAAGGAAGUGUGUGAAGAUGUGAUUAUCCUAAUCAAAUCUUCAAGGUGGAGAUUGUUAACGUUAAUGGGAGACAACAUUAAUGGCAAACAAUACAAAGUGGUGCAAGUUUAGCACCCUAAAGUUGACUUUGAAAAAGUGGCAUGGGAUAAUUUUUUUUUGGUCCUUGAGAUAAUGGGCUAUUUAUUGUUUGGUCCUUAAACCUCAACUAUAAAUAGGCCUUCUCAUUUCUCAUUUCAAUUCAUCCCAACCAAUCUUUCUCUCUUAGUUUUCUCUCUUCUCCCAUUUGAGAAUUCUUAAGGAAUUCUAUUUGUUUGUAAUACUUUGGAGAUAGUAAAGUUAUCAUCUGGUGUUAGUGCCCGAGGACGUAGGUAUAAUUUACCGAACCUCGUUAAAACUCUUUUGUUCUUUCUUGUCCUAUUUUUCUUUCAAUAUUUGAGGGUAUAAUAGUAGUAUUUAAUUGUGCUAUUAAAUUACUAUAGAAGGGAUAUUCUGUCUAAGGAAAGACUUGGUAUUUAAGAGAUCCAUGUGAUCCACCUCUCUUCCCUGGGAAUUGAACUUUGUGUGAUUUUUUAGUACAAUAAUUUACACGCUUCCGACCCUAUUGGAACAACAAUUUUUUGAAUCGGAUUGAAAAAGAUCGGCUCUUAAGGAAUUAUCUAAUGCGUCUUUUGAGUUAAAGAAUGAAGAUGGGACUAAAGGUCCAAUACCAACUGUCUUGAACUUUUCAAUGGCGUUUAAUGCUUCGUGUUCCAAAGCAUCGAAGGUGUUAAUAAGGAUUUUAGCGUUGGGUUCUUCUGCGAGGACGUCCAUUUGUUCUUGGAACAACGACAGUGCCGACUGGUAAACGGUUGAAGCGAUGACGAACGAUGGAAGGUCGCGGGUGAAGAGUGGCGGCAGACCUGGUAAUUUUAUCGAACACUUGGGGUUUGUUUCAUCAGCUUGAGCUUUAAUGGCGGAUUCGUAUCCGUUGAAGUAAAAAUAAUAGAUGUCGAAAACGGUGGCGGGUUGAAUCCAGAGUAAAGCUGACGGGAUGUGAUGUUUACACGCCACCUCCGCAGCCCAAUGAAGGAGUAAAGAGUAGACAAUGCAAGUAAUGGGUUUACCUUCGUUUUCACUACUUGUUAUAAACUCAGAGAUGGCAUCUUUGCCUCGUCGCUAAAAUUCAGACAAGUAAUGGUCUGUGUCAUCGCCGGGUUUAAUUCCGUCAUCGUAGCCAUCUGAAAAAGGUAAAAACGAUAGGCCUUCAGCGGUGGGGACUUUGGUCAUGCGGCGGCUGGCGGAGAUGCUGGUGAUGUAAGUUACACGUACGCCGAUACGAAUAAGAUGCUUGGCGAAUUGUAAGGUCGGGUUUAUGUGGCCUUGUGCAGGAUAGGUCAAUACGAUGAAAUGAGGUUGUGGCAUGAUGGUGACGGCGGCGCGUGGGUAGUGAAUUAUCCUUUCUCUUUUUACUAAUUUGGAGUAAUUCGUGAAGAAAAUUAAUGGGUUUUUAUAGUGAUGAGAGGAAUUCAUAAAAGGUGGCGUUUGAGCUGACGAAUUUCAUAGAUUCCUAAACCUUUUUGGAUUUAUCUGGUGUUUUUUUAAAGCUUAGGUUGCAGCUUGAUGCAUGAUGCUGUCAGAGACAGUUUCAGACUACACGAGUCUUGGGGGUUUGAACUUGAUUCACCAAUUAUAAUUUAGGUUAAACUAAACCCCAACACUAAACUAGUAAGUUUAUAUUUGGUUAAACUACCUACCAAGUUAUCCAUCUAUGCGUAAACUUUUUUUUUACUCACUCAAUUUUUAAAACUUUCGAAAUGGUCACUCAAUUAAUUGAGUUCGAUAUUUUUGAUCCAUAUCCCUUAAGCAUUGUUAAAUGCCUUAUCUUUGCAUAUCUGGUAGAUUAGGUAUUUGUAAAGUUGAGGGUUAAUUUUUAAAAAUUAUGAUUAGAUUGACAUAAAAUAUAAAUUUUGAUGGCUAAAUUUGUUAUUAUACUAAUUUUAAAGUGUUACCUCAACCUCGUGUCAAGCCCUUAACUGAAAUGGACCAAAAAAUAAAUUUGAUUAGUUAGGUGACAAUUUGAAAGUUUUAAAAGUUGAGUGAAAAAAAAAAGAAACUUAAACAUAUUUGAGUGGCUUGCAAUGUAGUUUAGCUUUUAUAUUUUGAUUACUCAACUUUAAAAUUUUACAAAAUGGCCACUGAGCUAUUUGAAAGUUUUCAUUUAAGUAACUAAAUUAUUCGAAGUUUUUAUUUAAGUCACUAGGCUGUUAAAUAUUUUUUUUAAGUCCGGCUAGCAAGCUCUAAGUAGGGGUGAUAUCAGUUCGGUUUGGUUGAGUUUUUUGAGUUUUUCAAUUCUUUUGAAUUGUCCAUCAUAAUUCGGUUUGGCUCGGUUUAGUUUUUCUAUAUUAAUUUUUUAUUUUGAUUUUUUAAAUUUAUUUUGAUAAAAUGAGCUUUGUUUUAUGACUUUUGAAUAUUAUUUGACAAAAUUUCAAGGCUUUUUUAUAAAUAUUUCUAAAAUACACUAAUCUUUUAAAAACUUUUAAAUAAUUUACACUAUUUUAAAUAUAAAAUAUUUAUUUUUAUAUCAUAAAAAAUAAAAUGAAUUAUAUAUUAAAUAAAAAACACAAUUCAGUUUAGUUUCAUGUAACUGCAAUUUUUAAACUUGCAUUCCAUAAAUCGUCUAAAUACCUCGAUUUGGGUCAAUUUUCGAUUUGGUUAGUUUAUUUGCACAACCUUAGCUCUAAGCGACUAUUCGACGAUUGAUACAGUGAAUUAGUACACAUUGAUAAGUAAAAAAAACAUACUUUAAAUCAAAAUUUAUCUAGCGGUUAGUGUCAGAGAUCGAAGAAGAAAGUUGUUUAAAUUUUGAUUUGCAAAUUUGUGGCGUUCAAAACUGUUUCAUGAAAAAAAAUUGAAAUAUGGAAAAGAAGAGAAAAGAGAUCUUUCGGUUGGUGCAGGCAUUGCAAGCGGAGAAGGCCAUACAAUAACAGUUUUAAUAAUCCAUCAAAUUAAAUGAAAAUUUUUAAAUAGUUUAAUGACCAUUUUAUAGUUUUUUUAAGCUAAUUGAUCAAAACAUAAAUUUACUAAUAAUUUAGCAACCUUGAAUGUAGUUUACUCAAAUUAUUAAUAAUGAUGAUUUUUUUUAUGGAAUUUUGAUUGAAUUUUAUUAAUUAAUUUUAAAAAAAUUAUAAAUCCAAGUAACUUUAGUGAGAAUCUACUCUUUUUUGAUACAAUGCUUAGAACUACCCAUAACCCUCCCCACCUUUAAAUAGGAGAACAAACUAGAACUCACAUCCUCCUACACUGACAACAAUGCCGAUGCUAAUCAAAUUAAGACUCAAUUGACAACUACAUCAACUUUUAAUUAUUCAUAUUACGUGAAAGCAAUUUUUGGUGAAAGUUAUAGUGAAAGUUAUCAUAUUGGUGAUUAGGUGUGAUUGACCAUAGAGUUAUAAUUAUUAUAGUACCAAGAAAAGUUAACCGAGUUGAUUAGGGUGUGAGAUGAAUAAAUUAAUUUUUCAAAAUUUUAAUAGUAAGAAUGGAAGAAUAUUUUUUAAAUUAAGAUUAAUUUAUCCAUUUUUUAGUAAAGAGAAUAAAAUUUAUAACUAUAAUUGUAAAUUUUAAGUUUUGGUCCUUCUAUUACGGUUACAUUUAAGAUUUAAUUUUUUAAAGUAAGAUUUAAUCUUUAUAAUUAAAUUUCGCAUAAUUUGAUUGUCUAUUUUUACAAAAUGAUAUCAGGUAGUUGAAAUAAUUAACAUGCUUUUAACUAUUCUAAUUAAUUUUUUUAUUUUUUAUAAAAAUAUUAUUCUAUAAAAAAUAGCUUUUACAUAAUGAAUCAGAAUAAAUGUUAUUAAAAAUAUUCACAUCAACUACUAAAAAUAUUAAGGGUGCUAAUUAUUUGGGCUAACUAAUGAUACGACCUUUUUUCCAGUCAUUAUAGGAUAAUGAUAAAAUUGUAAUUUUUAUCUCUCUAUUAUGCUCGCAUUUGAGAUUUAAUAUUUAUAUUUUAAUUUGACAUAGUUUGAUUCUCUACUUUUAUAAUGACAUCAAUUAUCCUAAAUAAUUAACAUUUUUAACUAUAUCGAUUAGAAUGAUUACAUGAAUAUCUCAUAAAAACACCUUUCAAUACAAUAUAUAUAUUUCUCCAUAAAGUUCGAAUGGGUAUUUUUUAGGAAAAAUUGACCUCAACAUUUUGACCAGAAUAAUUAAAGGUAACAACUAUUUCAACUAACUAAUAUUAUUAUGUAGAGGAACCAAAUUAUAUAAAAUUAAAGAAUAGAUAUUAAAUUUUAUAUUUAAACAUAGUAGAGAGACCAUAAUCAUAAUUUAAUCUAAAACAAAUUAUCCUUAAUACAAUAUGAAGAUAUUGACUAUAAAAAAUUAAAAUUUCAUUCGAUUCCUAAAAAAUUAUUCUAACUUCAUCCUUUCCUAUUAUAAUUUUCAAACUUUACGUUACAUUGUUUUCUUAAAUAUUGGGUAUAUUAUAAUAUAUAUAUUCGGCUUUUAAUUUGUCACAAAUAAAUUUUUUAACUUUGUUAUUAAUAAUAAAAAUGGAUAGUUUUAAAAAAAUUAAUUUAUCUUGAGUGUGACAACGUGAUGAAAGUUUGUCCACACAAAAUCCGAAAGGAUUUCAAGGAUCUUCAACUUCGUCAGCCCAAACGUCACCUUUUUUCAGUGCCUCCCAUCACUUACAAAAACGCUUUGAUUUCCUUUCUUAGUUACUCCAAAUCCGACGUUCGUAGAGAAAGACCAAGUGAACUACCUACGAGCCGCCAUCACCACCAUGUCACAGCCUCAUUUCCUCCUAGUGGCCUCCCCUGCACAAGGCCACAUAAACCCAACCUUACAAUUUGCCAAGCAUCUUAUACGUAUUGGCGUACGUGUAACUUUCAUCACCUGCAUCUCCGCUCGCAGCCGCAUGACCAAAGUCCCCACUGCUCAAGGCCUAACGUUUUUACCCUUUUCCGAUGGCUACGACGACGGUUUUCAACUCCGCGAUGACAUCGACCAUUACCUAUCUGAAUUGAGGCGACGAGGCAAAGAAGCUAUCUCCGAGUUUUUAACAAGCAGUGAAAACGAAGGCAAACCCGUCACUUGCAUUGUCUACAGCCUGUUCAACCAUUGGGCCACGGAGGUGGCGCGUAAACAUCACAUCCCGACAACUUUACUUUGGAUUCAACCCGCCACCGUUUUUGACAUCUAUUAUUUUUACUUCAACGGAUACGAAUCCACCAUUAAAGCUCAAGCUGAUGAAACAAACCCCAAGCGUUCAAUAAAAUUACCAGGUCUGCCGCUACUCGCUACCCGCGACCUUCCGUCGUUCGUAACCGCUUCAAACGUUUACCGUUGGGGACCGUCGUUGAUCCAAGAACAAAUGGACAUCCUCGCUGAUGAAUCCAACCCCAAAAUCCUUGUUAACACCUUCGAUGCUUUGGAACAAGAAGCAUUAAACGCCAUUGAAAAUUUCAACAUGAUCGGCAUCGGACCUUUAAUCCCAUCUUCUUUCUUGAACUCAAGUGACUCCUUGGAUAAUUCCUUGAGAACCGAUCUUUUUCAACCCGAUUCAAAAGAUUACCUCCAAUGGUUAGACUCCAAACCAAAAUCGGCUGUCGUUUACGUUUCCUUCGGGAGCAUUACGGUGUUAACGAAGCAACAAGUGGAGGAAAUCGCUCGAGCUUUAAUAUCCAGCCGGCGACCUUUUUUAUGGGUGGUGAGGAACCGGAAAGAUGGAGGCGAAGAAGAGAAAGAAGAAGAUAAACUGACUUGCAGGGAAGAAUUGGAACAGGUUGGGAUGGUGGUUCCAUGGUGUUCGCAAGUGGAAGUAUUGUCUCAUCCGUCGUUGGGUUGCUUCGUGACGCAUUGUGGGUGGAACUCGACGUUGGAGAGCAUGGUGGCCGGUGUACCGGUGGUGGCUUUCCCUCAAUGGACGGAUCAAGGGACUAAUGCGAAGCUGAUUGAAGAUGUGUGGGGGAAUGGAGUGAGAGUGAGUGCUAAUGAAGAAGGGAUGCUGGAACGUGAUGAGAUCGUUAGGUGCUUGGAUUUGGUGAUGGGGGAUGAUGAGAAAGGGAUGGAAGUGAAGAAAAAUGUAGAGAAAUGGAAAGGGUUAGCCAGGGAAGCCUCCAUGGAAGGCGGCUCCAUGGAUAUGAAGCUUAAAGCUUUUGUGGAUGAUGUUGCUCAAGGUGGUUGUAACUAAAUUUAUCAUUUUCAAAUAAAUUUACUGUUAUAAUAGCAGCUAUAAAGAUUGUAACUUCUUUAAUUUCUAAGUUUAUUUCUUUUUCCUUUCCAUCAUCUUUUAAAAAAUAUAUGUAAGAUUGAAAUGCCCAAACAAAAACUCCUGUUUUAAGGACCCAAGAAGAGCUGGUCUGUUUAGGCUGUGUUAUUUAUUACUAAGAUGAGUUUUUGCAUGUAAAAGUAUUUUUUUCUCAAAAAUAAUAAAGAUUAGACAUUAUUCCAGAAAAAUUUUUAACUUAAAAAAAGUACCUUUUGGCUGAUGGAUAAAUUAAAAAUUUUAACUUUUCUACCUGCUUUUAGCUUCUAUUUAUAUUUUUAACCUUUUUUUUCUCCCAAAACUUUUAGUAUUUAUAUUUGAUAUACAAAUAUUAUUCCUUUUUAAAUCUUUAAUCUAAAUAUAUGUAAUAUUUUAAUUUGUUAGGUUUAUAUUUUCUAUGUUAUCUUAAUAUCUAAUAAGAGUUAUAUAUUAAAAUACAUUUUAAAAUAAAAUAAUACAAAUGUGUUAAAAGCAUUAAUUAAAAAUAAAAAAUAAUUUUUAAAAUAAUACAAUUGUGUCAAUAUCUAAUUACAAAUAUUUAAUUAUUAUAUUUAAAUAUUUAAAUAUAGUUUAUAUAUUCUAAUUAAAUUUAAUAAAUAAUUAAUAUUAAUUACUUAGAAAAAUUUAAAAUUAAUAUUAUAUAUUAAAAUAUUAACAAUAAGUUAUAAUAAUUUAUUUUUAUAAUUUUGCUAAAAUAUCAUAAUAUUAACUAAUUUGAACAUUAUUUAAAUACAUAUUUGUUACUUUAUAAUAUCAUGUCUAAAAUGGACAUUUUAUUUCUCAAAAGCACUUUUUGACAGCAAUAUCAAACACUCAAAUUUUAAAAAAGUAUUUUUCAAAAGUACUUUUCCACAACACUUUUCAAAAGCAAUGAAGAACUGGCCCUUAGUUUUUGAGCCCCAUCUAUCUAUCUCAAUCUCAAUCAAUGCUUUCCUUUCUUGCCUCAAGCACUCACUCGUUUCAUGUCCUAUCCUCGUCUUCCCUUUCUUAACUUUAUGAUCUCAAAAAAAAAAACCCAAAGUUUGAAUUUCGUCUAUGAACUUCCUAAGCAGAAUCAGGAUAUCUGAUUAAACAUGGAUGCUUCCAUUAUCAUAUGGAUUAAGGGUGCCAGUCGGUCUUAUUAUGCCCCUAAUCCAACUUUCACCAUUCGAUAUAUGAUUAUAACCUAUACAACAACAGUCAAAUGUGUUGUUGUCGUACCUCUGUCCCUUCAAAAUUAUCUUUAUUUGCUAUUCAUGUCUUCAUUUGAAUUGAUUUGUUUAUGGUUAUACAUUGCCGAAUUUGAUUUGUAUAUGGAUAUACAUUGCUGAAUUAAUUUAUAUAUGGUUAUACAUUACCAAAUUUGAUUUGUAUAUAUAUACAUUGACAAAUUUGAUUCGUAUAUGGAUAUAUAUCACCGAAUUGAUUUGAGCUUUGGAUUACUAGUUUUGUGCAUGAAUUGAUUUAAUUACGAAGUCGAAAGCUCCGAAUGAACCUUAGUAAAUGUAUUGGAUAUUGAUGUCAUGAUAUUAGGACUUUCGAGGUGUGAUUUCGCGUAAGACCAUGUCUGGGAUAUUGGCAUCGAAGUAAGAAAACGUGUAAGACCAUGUCUGGGACAGUGGAAUUGAUAUGUGUUAACAUAUAAGACCAUAUCCGAGAUAUGGUAUUGUACGAGUUUUAUAUGAUUUUCGUAUGAUCUUAACUAUUUCGAAUGUGAAUUUGAGUUGAAUGAUUCAGGUAUGUGUGAAGUUAUAUGUUCAUGCAAUAUUAAGGUAAGUUUAGCACUUAAUGUGAUAAUUUGCAAUUAUAUGAGUUAGUUAAAUGUUUAUGUGUUUGAGAUUUAUUUGAAUUCGACCUAGUUGAAUUGAAUUAUAAAUAUCAUUGAGAUGAUUGAGUAAGAGGUUAGUACGAGAUGAUACAGGUACGUACAGAACCUAUUCGAGUAUUUAAUAGAGAAAUAUAAUGAAAUGGUAUUUGAUCAUGUUUUAAGACAUUGAGAAAGGUUUGUUGUAAUUGUAUAUAUGGUGAUGUUAUGUACAAUUAGUUGAAUUGUAUGUAUUUGAUGUAUUGAAUUAUUCAUUUACGAACUUACUAAGCUAUGAAGCUUACUUCGUGUUAUUUUCUUAUGUUUUAUAGAGAAUCAAGGCUAGCUCGGAUUCAAAAGUCGUCGGGAACAUCAUCGCGCUAUCGAACAUCUAAGUUGGUACUUUUGAAUUGUAUAUAUAUGAUAUAUGAGAUGUACAGGCUAGUGUUAUUUUGGUAUGUUUUGAGUUAUGAUAUUAGCCAUGAGAUUUGGCUUUUAAAGGUUGGUGUGUAUUUGACCAUAUGAAUUGGUUGUUUAAGUGUUGAGAAAAUGCAUAUUUGAACCUAAGAUGAAUUUAUGGUUAUAGUAAGUUAAAUUGACAUACUUUUGAGUUAAUUUGGUACUAAAAUUGAAAUGAAAUGAACGAAGUUUAUUAGUUAACUUUUAUAUAGUAUUAUGGAUGUUGUUGAUCAAUUUGAUAAGUAAAUGUUUUAGGCAUGAUUUAAAUAUGUUUAAAUGUGAAAAUGUGUUGGUUUCCAUAUUGAUUGUAAAUUGGUUGCAGUUUAAAUUACAGGGAAUGUUAGAUAUUUAUAAAGAAGUUAUAUUGAGUUCGCAAAAAAAAAAAAUCUCCGAGUUUCCGAAUUAGUCCCGAGUCAUUCUUAACUCGUAUUAUGGACCUUGAGGGUUUAUCUAAGGGACUUUAAGAUUAUUUUAUAUUAUAUUUGAUAAUUAUUUGUAUAUUAAUUGUAAAUUGUCCGAUAGGUCUAGUAAUGCUCCAUAAUCCUAUUCCGGUGACGAACAUGGGUUAGGGGUGUUAUAAUAAGCAAUUUUUGGUGAAAGUUAUAGUGAAAGUUAUCAUAUUGAUGGUUAGGUGUGAUUGACCACAGUGUUAUAAUUAUUAUAGUACAAAGAAAAGUUAACUGAGUUGAUUAGGGUGUGAGGUGAAUAAAUUAAUUCUUCGAAAUUUUAAUAGCAAGAACGGAAGAAUAUUUAAAAAAAAUUAAUUUGUUAUUUGAUUUAACAUAUAGAGACUAAUUUAUCUAUUUUUUAGUAUAGCUAGAGAAUAAAAUGCAAUCUGACAUCUAAUACAAUGACCUCAAUAAUACUUUUACCUACAGUUGAUAAAUUUAUAACUAUAAUCGUAAAUUUUCAGUUUUGGUUCUUCUAUUAUGGUUACGUUUAAGAUUUAAUUUUUUAAAGUAAGAUUUAAUCUUUAUAAUUAAAUUUGGCAUAAUUUGAUUGUCUAUUUUUACAAUGAUAUUAGGUAGUCGAAAUAAUUAACAUAUUUUUUAACUAUUCUAAUUAAUUUUUUAAUUUUUUUAAAAAAUACUAUUCUAUAAAAAAAUUACUUUUACAUAAUGAAUCGGAAUAAAUGUUAUUAAAAAUAUUCACAUCAACUACUAAAAAUAUUAAGGGUGCUAAUUAUUUGGGUUAACUAAUGAUACGACCUUUUUUUCCCGACAUUAUAAGAUAAUGAUAAAAUUAUAGUUUUUAUCUCUCUAUUCUGCUCACAUUUGAGAUUUAAUAUUUAUAUUUUAAUUUGACAUCGUUUGAUCCUCUACUUUUAUAAUGACAUUAGUUAUCCUAAAUAAUUAAUAUUUUAACUAUAUCGAUUAAAAUGAUUACAUGAAUUUCUCUUAAAAACACAUUUCAAUACAAUAUAUAUAUUUCUACAAGAAGUUCGAAUGGGUAUUUUUAAGGAAAAAAUUGAUCUCAACAUUUUGACCACAAUAAUUAAAGGUAUCAACUAUUUCGACUAAUUAAUAGUAUUAUGUAGAGGGACCAAAUUAUAUAAAAUUAAAGAAUAGAUAUUAAAUUCUAUAUUUAAACAUAGUAGAGACCAUAACCAUAAUUUAAUCUAAAACAAAUUAUCUCUAACAUAAUAUAAAUAUAUUAACUAUAAAAAAUUUAAAAUUUAUUCGACCCCUAAAAAAUUAUUCUAACUUGCCUGCUACAAUUUUUAAACCUUACAUAAGAUUAUUUUCUUAAAUAGUGCAUAUUAUAAUAUAUAUGUACGACGUAUAUAUAUUUGGUUUUGCAAUUGUUUUUAACUUGGGCUUUUAAUUUGUCACAAAUAAAAUUUUUGACUUUAAUAAUAAUAAUAAUAAUAAUGGAUAAUUUAAAAUAAAAUAAAUUUAUAUUUUAAUUUAUUGUAUUGGAAUUAAUGAGAGAAAAUUUAUGGUCCUUCUAGCGCAAGAAUGUGUGUGACAACGUGUUGAAUGUUUAUCCACACAAAAUCCAAAAGGAUUCAAGGAUCUUCAACUUCGUCAGUGCCUCUCAUCACUUAUAAAAACACUUCGAUUUCCUUUCUUAGUUACUCCAACUCCGACGUUCGUAGAAAAAGACCAUGUGAACUACCUACGUGCCGCCGUCACCAUCAUGUCACAGCCUCAUUUCCUCCUAGUGACCAUCCCUGCACAAGGCCACAUAAACCCAACCUUACAAUUUGCCAAGCAUCUUAUACGUAUUGGCGUACGUGUAACUUUCAUCACCUGCAUCUCCGCUCGCCACCGCAUGACCAAAGUCCCCACUGCUCAAGGCCUAACGUUUCUACCCUUUUCCGAUGGCUACGAUGACGGUUUUCAACCCGGCGAUGACGUGGACCGUUACCUAUCUGAAUUGAGGCGACGAGGCAAAGAAGCCAUCUCCGAGUUUAUAACAAGCGGUGAAAACGAAGGCAAACCCGUCACUUGCAUUGUCUACACCCUGUUCAUCCAUUGGGCCACGGAGGUGGCGCGUAAACAUCACAUCCCGACAGCUUUACUUUGGAUUCAACCCGCCACCGUUUUUGACAUCUAUUAUUUUUACUUCAACGGAUACGAAUCCACCAUUAAAGCUCAAGCUGAUGAAACAAACCCCAAGCGUUCAAUAAAAUUACCAGGUCUGCCGCUACUCGCCACUAGCGACCUUCCGUCGUUCGUCACCGCUUCAAACGUUUACCGUUGGGGACCGUCGUUGAUCCAAGAACAAAUGGACGUCCUCGCCGAUGAAUACAACCCUAAAAUCCUUGUUAACACAUUCGAUGCUUUGGAACACGAAACAUUAAACGCCAUUGAAAAUUUCAACAUGGUCGGCAUCGGACCUUUAAUCCCAUCUUCUUUCUUGAACUCAAAUGACUCCUUGGAUAAUUCCUUGAGAACCGAUCUUUUUCAAUCCGAUUCAAAAGAUUACUUCCAAUGGUUAGACUCCAAACCAAAAUCGGCUGUCGUUUACGUUUCCUUCGGGAGCAUUGCGGUGUUAACGAAGCAACAAGUGGAGGAAAUCGCUCGAGCUUUAAUAUCCAGCCGGCAACCGUUUUUAUGGGUGGUGAGGAACCGGAAAGAUGGAGGCGAAGAAGAAGAUAAACUGACUUGCAGGGAAGAAUUGGAACAGUUUGGGAGGGUGGUUCCAUGGUGUUCGCAAGUGGAAGUAUUGUCUCAUCCGUCGUUGGGUUGCUUCGUGACGCAUUGUGGGUGGAACUCGACGUUGGAGAGCAUGGUGGCCGGUGUACCGGUGGUGGCUUUCCCUCAAUGGACGGAUCAAUGGACUAAUGCGAAGCUGAUUGAAGAUGUGUGGGGGAAUGGGGUGAGAGUGAGUGCUAAUGAAGAAGGGAUGGUGGAAUGUGAUGAGAUCGUUAGGUGCUUGGAUUUGGUGAUGGGGGAUGAUGAGAAAGGGAUGGAAGUGAAGAAAAAUGUAGAGAAAUGGAAAGGGUUAGCCAGGGAAGCCUCCAUGGAAGGCGGCUCCAUGGAUAUGAAGCUUAAAGCUUUUGUGGAUGAUGUUGCUGAAGCUGGUUGCAAGUAAAUUUAUCAUUUUCAAAUAAAUUCACUGUUAUAAUAGCAGCUAUAAAUAUUGUAACUUCUUUAAUUUCUAAGUUUAUUUCUUUUUCCUUUCCAUCAUCUUUUGUAAAAAAAAAAAAAGUAAGAUUGAAAAGCCGAAACAAAAACUCCUCUUUUUAAGGACCCAAGAGGAGCUGGUCUGUUUAGUCUUUGAGCCCCACCUGUCAAUCUCAAUCUCAAUCAAUGCCACUCACUCGUUUCAUGUCCUAUCCUCGUCUUCCCUUCAUUAAUAUCACUCCACCUUCUAACUUAAUAACUGAUACAUGAUCUCAAAAAAAAAAAGAAAAAAAAAAAACCCAAAGUUUGAAUUCGGUCUAUGAGCUUCCUAAACAAAAUCAGGAUAUGUGAUUAAGCAUGGAUGCUUCCGUUAUCAUAUGGAUUAAGGGUGCCAGUCGGGCUUAUUACGCCCCUCAUCCAACUUUCACCAUUCGAUAUAUGAUUAUAACCUAACCAACAACAGUCAAAUGUGUUGUUGUCGUACCUCUAUCCCUUCAAAAAUCUCUUUACUGUUGCUACCCAUGUCUUCUUUGAUAUAUAUGCAUAUUUUUAACCUUACUGAGCUGUGGACUUCAUUUGAAGUGUAACCAAGUUUUUGCUUUUUUUUCUUUCUUCUUCUUGUGUUUCCUGAAUUUAUAAAUUUUUUUCGAUUGGCUUCUAUUUAUGUUUUUUCAAAGAUUAAUAAUUGAAUUUAAUUAAAAAAUAAUUAAAUUGGUAAAAUAUAUAAAUGUUGAGGACAAACUUCAGUAUUAUCCCUUUUAAUACCUUUCAUCGUACUGGAGCAGGUAUUAUCGUACCAUGAAACUUGAAUAAGCCACCACACAAGUUUAUGCGCAUGUGGUUUUUUCUGGUUGUAUUCUGCUACUAGUCCUUAUACUUUAUGAAAGUGAUGGAUUUAGUCCCAAUACUUCAAUUUAAUCACUUUUAGUCCUGCACUUUUCAAAAUGUUCAAUUUUAGUCCCUAUAUUUUCAGUCUUUUGAAAUUUUCGUCCUAAACCAAAUAAUAGUAGUUCAAUUUGUUUGUUUAAAUUCAAUUACUAGCAUGUAAUUGUAGAUUUAAUAUAUAUUAUCCAUUUUCUUUGCAAAGUCUGUGAAAAACAAAACGGAUUGUUGAGAACAAUCCAAACACUAUCAAACACAGUUUAAAAAAAAAAAAAACAGAACAGCCUAACAUAUACUACUAAGCAGACAAAAACACUUUAACAACAGAUUUCCCCGUUGUAUUCUGCUGCAGAAAAUAGCAGACCAUCCCAGCAGCAUCAUCCAUUCUGCUUCAGCAGCAAAUCACCAAGCAGCUUUAAAGAAGUUUUUCCUUGACAUGCCUGUCUUUGCUAAAGUUUCCGCCAUUCCACUCUUUUUUUGAUUAGUGAUUGCAAACUGGAUUUCGGCAAUAUGUCUACAUCCAUCUUCAAUUUCCGCAAACAACUUCCUUAGCGACCAUGGACGAAGAUUUCUAUAUUUCAACUAAUUCAAUACCGUAUUCAAAUCAAGCUCUAUAAUCAAAGGAAGUUGCACCUUAUGAAACAAAUUUGAAAACAUCUCUAUUGCUACUUUUAUAGCCAUCAGUACUACCAUUUCCAAACCCUCCACUGCACAGUUACCUGAAAAAGAGCUGAAACAACCCCUUUCUCGUCCCGCAACACCCCUCCGCAGCCCGCUCUUUCAUCCAAAGAAACCCCAGCCACAUUAAAUUUCAUCCAACCGCAAGGAGGUGGUUCCCUAUCCAUAACCCGCACAUUCCCCACCCUAUUUAACCAGACUGCUCUUCCUUGGCCACCCCCACCAAUCACUCUCUGUGAAAAUACAUUCCUCAUAGACCACUCUUGCCCAUACAAACGAUCUCAAUUUUGUUUGAUAAAUUAAGUCAAGUGUUGUAGCCUUACCUUCAAACACUUUCUCAUUACGAGAAAUCCAUCCUGACCAACAUGCUGCUGAUACUGCCAGUAACCAUAAACUUUUUUGAAUGCCAGACAAAGACACUCUCCAGCAAAAGGAAAAGAAUUCCUCAAAGUUUGCUACGUCCUUCCAUCUCAACCCCCACCAGCAAAAUAUAAGCGACCAGAAUCUUUUCACAAAGGAGCAUUCAAAAAACAAGUGAUUGGUAGAUUCCGCCACUCUCUCGCACCAUGGACACCCACUAUCCGAAGAGUUGAUAAUAAUUCCUCUACUAAUAAAAAAUUCUUUCGUUGGAACACGAUUAAUCGCCAUCAUCUAUAGGAAGCUACGCUUUCUUGGUGGGACUUUCAAUUUCCAGAUUCUAUCAAACUGAAAUUCUACCGUUCCCAUCCCAUCAUAAGAUAGGAGAGACACAUUCACGACAUUAGUUGCACGCCCAGCUACAAACGAACCUGGCUCGGAUACCAAAAAUGUAGGGAAAAAAUAGUCACAGAAGACUAUUGUCAAACAACGUGUAUGCAAGGAAAAUACUAAACUAUAGAAAAUUUAAAAAGAAAGAAAAGCUGAACUCAAAAUGACUGAAGUUGCUGUAUUAUUCACACACAAAAUGAAAUAAACGUAGGCCUAUAAAUAGCCUUUACACCAUAACAAACUAACGUAAAAAUGUGCAACACUAUUGCACGAUCAUAACAAAAAAUAGAGAAAUAAGGAAAUUAACAAACUAAGCAUAGCACAGCAAAUCUAAAUUUAGAAAAACCGACUUUGAAUCAUUCUCCAACAUCGAAAAUGGUGGAGGGCUGAAUCCAGAGUAAAGUUGACGGGAUGUGAUGUUUACGCGCCACCUCCGUAGCCCAAUGAAGGAGCAAAUAGUAGACAAUGCAAGUGAUGGGUUUACCUUCGUUUUCACUACUUGUUAUAAACUCAGAGAUGGCAUCUCUGCCUCGUCUCUUGAAUUCAGACAUGUAAUUGUCUGUGUCAUUGCCGGGUUUAAUUUCGUCGUCGUAGCUAUCCGAAAAAGGUAAAAACGAUAGGCCUUCAGCAGUGGGGGACUUUGGUCAUGCGACUGAUGA
This 33015-nucleotide long non-coding RNA is filed under the name Gossypium barbadense (sea-island cotton). Its description in RNAcentral is "long non-coding RNA (GBAR_LNC013875)". The record is from RNAcentral. Lineage: Eukaryota; Viridiplantae; Streptophyta; Magnoliopsida; Malvales; Malvaceae.